GCCCGUUGUUCCCCGAUGAAAACCCUUCCCAAUUAUUCAUGUACAAACAUAUAGUUGUUCCUUAAAUUGGCAAAAUGAAUAAUGACCUUAAAAAUGAGUCCAAGACAACUGAUCCCACAGUUCACCUGGUCCGGGAAAUCUUACUUGUUUCCUAUAAUUUUAGUGUUUGCUUCAUGUAUCUUAGUGCAGAGCGCAGCAUUGCUCUAGCUUUCCUAUCUGGAGUGCACCCAGCCGAAAUCAUUUCUUCAUACACAGA
This 256-nucleotide unclassified non-coding RNA is filed under the name Hevea brasiliensis (rubber tree). The record is from RNAcentral. Lineage: Eukaryota; Viridiplantae; Streptophyta; Magnoliopsida; Malpighiales; Euphorbiaceae.